Molecule: ribosomal RNA, 548 nt
Filed under: uncultured bacterium
Lineage: Bacteria
Description: partial 16S ribosomal RNA
Rfam family: Bacterial small subunit ribosomal RNA
Source: RNAcentral
UGGGGAAUUUUGGACAAUGGGCGAAAGCCUGAUCCAGCAAUGCCGCGUGUGUGAAGAAGGCCUUCGGGUUGUAAAGCACUUUUUGUCCGGAAAGAAACCUUGGCUCUAAUACAGUCGGGGGAUGCGGUACCGGAAGAAUAAGCACCGGCUAACUACGUGCCAGCAGCCGCGGUAAUACGUAGGGUGCAAGCGUUAAUCGGAAUUACUGGGCGUAAAGCGUGCGCAGGCGGUUUGCUAAAGACCGAUGUGAAAUCCCCGGGCUCAACCUGGGAAACUGCAUUGGUGACUGGCAGGCUAAGUAUGGCAGAGGGGGGUAGAAUUCCACGUGUAGCAGUGAAAUGCGUAGAGAUGUGGAGGAAUACCGAUGGCGAAGGCAGCCCCCUGGGCCAAUACUGACGCUCAUGCACGAAAGCGUGGGGAGCAAAACAGGAUUAGAUACCCUGGUAGUCCACGCCCUAAACGAUGUCAACUAGUUGUUGGGGAUUCAUUUCCUUAGUAACGUAGCUAACGCGUGAAGUUGACCGCCUGGGGAGUACGGUCGCAAGAUU